GGGGGGGGGGGAAUUAAUAGCCAACGAAAAUAGGAAUUGAAAGUCUCCGAGAGGCUGCGCUGGCGAAAGUGAUGGUGCCUGACUGGCCUUUUUGCUGAAUAUUUGCUUAGCGAUGGGUGGAAAGGAGAAAGUUGCGGCAUACUUUUUAUUCUCGUCUUCUCUGCAGGCGUUCGGCAGCGUGAAGGAAGGGUGGAGGGUGCCUUCUUUCUUUCUUUCUUUUUUUUUUUUCCUCCUCUCUUCUUCUUUUCCCUCCUUUCUACUGAAUUAUUCAUAGUGUCAGUGGUGAAGCCAGGACUAUUAGCAUGCAUCAGACAUGCUGUUUGUCUGUUUGCUAACAUUCUUCAUUCAAGACUUGUUAACUACCAGACAAGCUUAACACGCUUCUUUUUUCCCCCUCCCCUCCUCUCCUCUCUUCCUCCGUCUCUCUCUCUCUCUUCGCCUUCCCUCCCUCCUUCCCUCCCUCCCCUCGCCCCUUCCCUUCCUUUCCCUUCCUUUCCUUUCCCUUCCCUUCCCUCGCAGCCGCCCAUUGUUGCCGCCGGGCGCUGGCAGCCGGGGGCAGUUGCGGCCGGAGCGGGCGGAGGAGCGGCCGCCGGUUGCUAGGAGACUGCAGAGCUGCAAGGUGAACACCAGCACAUCGGCGGCUCCCCGGGCUGGCUCCCCACCCUGUACAGGUGUAUCAAUCAGCCUGGAUGUAGUCUCCCUGUUAAGGAGUGUGAAAGUUACAAGAGAAGAAUUAGAAUUUGACACUGAAAAAGCUCUUCCUCAUCUGAACCAUCGUUCAAAGCACAGAAUGAAAGGAGACGAACAGGUUUUCUAUCAUGCUGUCUGCAGGACUCCUAGAAGUUUCUUCUGAAACUUGGGAUUCACUCGCAACUUGCAAACUGGAGUCUGCUUACUGUUCUCUGUUUCAGAUAAGAUGUCAAAGCAAGCAAGGGAGACUUAGAAGUAAUGUGACUCAGGAAAAGAGUAUUUGAAAGAAUAACAUAGUGGGGAACCAAGCUGGAAGAUUAAAUAAGUGAAGACUGGUCAUCUAUGCAGAGGAAAUGACAAGGGCCUGUAGCAACAGCAUCAUGAAUAAUGGACACAAAGUAUCUAACACACUGUGGAGCGCUGGCAAAGAUCUGCUCACUUUCUACCACCUGAAGCCUGCUUUAAGACCGUUAAUGAAUGUUUAACCAGUGAAAGCUUUAGUCUCAGGUAAAAAGACUUACACUACUGUAAUUCUAUGGAGAGCCCUGGUCCCCUGAGAAAACAUCAGGUUGUCUAGAGGGAGCCAAAACAGGCAGUGCUGUGCGUCUGGCCACCCGAGCUCCUCCCCUGUAAUUCAUGAGGAGCGCUUCCUGUGCCAGCACCAUACUGGGGUCACUGGCCCAGUACCCUGGGCACUCCAGAAAGUCUU
Pezoporus flaviventris is the source of this 1399-nucleotide long non-coding RNA. RefSeq lists it as uncharacterized. The record is from RefSeq and is a predicted model, not a curated record. NCBI's taxonomy places the organism in Eukaryota, Metazoa, Chordata, Aves, Psittaciformes, Psittacidae. The transcript has 6 exons.